UUCCGAAGGGAUUAUCAUCCCUGCCUUCAGCAUCGCCCUUACCUCAUUGCUAACUUUCCCCACAUACUCUCCAGUUAUUCUGUAGGGGUUGACAGCAAUAGGCUUAGCAUCCCCAGUGUCGAUAUGAUGUAUAACUCCUUUAGCUCUACCUGUAGUGUUACUGAAAAUGUCUUUAUAAUCUUGUAGGAUCUGCUUAACCUCCACCUGCUGAUUCAGGGUUAAUGUAGGAGCUAUCUUUAUUUCUUGUAGAUUGCACAAUUGCUCCCCUCUCCCUUCCCAGCAUGUUAUAUCGGUUAUUUUGUGGUAUUAUAUCUUAAUUUUAUUCUGUGAACUGCCCUGAGACCCCCAGUUAUAAAGCGGUAUAUUAAAUAAGUAAGUAAGUAAGUGACGCGGGUGGCGCUGUAAGGGACGCGGGUGGCGUAGUGGGUUAAACCACAGAGCCUAGGACUUGCUGAUCAGAAGGUUGGUGGUUCGAAUCCCUGCAACGGGAUGAACUCCCGUUGCUCGGUCCCUGCUCCUGCCAACCUAGCAUUUCUAAAGCACGUCAAAGAGAAGUGGAUAAAUAGGUACCGCUCUGGCAGAAAGGUAAACGGUGUUUCCGUGCGCUGCUCUGGUUUGCCAGAAGCGGCUUAGUCAUGCUGGCCACAUGACCCGGAAGGUGUAUGCCGCCUCCCUCGGCCAAUAAAGCGAGAUGAGCGCCACAGCCCCAGAGUCUGCCACAACUGAACGUAAUGGUCAGGGGUCCCUUUACCUUGAGUAGGUAAGUAAGUAAGUAAGUAAGUAAGUAAAUGGCUUAGUCAUCCUCUACGGUGGAAAGGAGAAGGGAAAGGACAGGCUGGCCAAUUAUUGUUGUGAAAGGUGCCCUUCGUUCAGGUAACCGCAAGGGUCCAGCCAAGAUUUAUUUUAGGGGGGCCUAUGAAGUUGUGCCUCCGUUUCAUGCUCUUCUGAAUGAACUUUCCUUUCACUUGUGGACCAUGGUAUUUGUUCUCCCUCUACACAGGAUUUGGCCUGUUACAAACCGAUUAUAUCUGCCUCCUGUUGAUGAUGUCCUGCUGUCUUCACUGACAUUGGGAGCUGUCCACCACUGUAUAAUUGUUGCAGAAGGGAACUUCUGCUUGGCGAAUGAGAAUCAAACAAGUGUCCAGAGGAAAGUGUCAUUUCUCCUCCCCACGCC
Podarcis lilfordi (Lilford's wall lizard) is the source of this 1174-nucleotide non-coding RNA. The record is from the annotation of a GenBank genome assembly. Lineage: Eukaryota; Metazoa; Chordata; Lepidosauria; Squamata; Lacertidae.